RNAcentral lists this long non-coding RNA (398 nucleotides) under Monodelphis domestica (gray short-tailed opossum). RNAcentral's name for it is "lncRNA (ENSMODG00000037295.1)". Lineage: Eukaryota; Metazoa; Chordata; Mammalia; Didelphimorphia; Didelphidae. The record is from RNAcentral.
CUUGUUCACUUAUGGCAGCUUCACCAUAUUGUGAAUUUUUUAAUAUACGAAGCAGGGGGGAAAAGCAGAGACUUUGGGAAUUGUGUUUUGGCUGACCAUUUCAAGGAUGGGAUAAAGUUCAUGUUUCAGAAGCAAAGAACAGAAGAUAUCAAGGAGGAGGAAGAGGAGGAGGAGGAGGAGGAAAAGAAGGAGGAAGAGGAGAAGGACAAGGGGAAGGAAGAGGAGAAAUAGGGAGGUGGAGGAGGAGGAGGAGAAGAAGAACAAGAACAAGAACAAGAAGAACAAGAACAAGAACAAGAAGAACAAGAAGAAGAAAGGAUGAUGAUGACAAUGAUUAUAAUGACAAAGGAGGAUGGAAGAGGAAGAUGAGGAUGAGGAGCUGCUGCUACUACUAUCCA